CAAUAGCGUAUAUUUAAGUUGUUGCUGUUAAAAAGCUCGUAGUUGGAUUUCGGGUGGGACGCAGCGGUCUCGCAUUGCGUUUGUACUGCUGCAGCCCUCCUUCUUGCCGGGGGCGGCCUCUCGGACUUCACUGUCUGGGGGUCAGAAUCGGCGAUGUUACUUUGAGUAAAUUAGAGUGUUCAAAGCAAGCUUACGCUCUGAAUAUAAUAGCAUGGGAUAACACGACAGGACUCUGGCCUAUCGUGUUGGUCUAUAGGACCAGAGUAAUGAUUAAGAGGGACAGUCGGGGGCAUUCGUAUUCCGUUGUCAGAGGUGAAAUUCUUGGAUUUACGGAAGACGAACAUCUGCGAAAGCAUUUGCCAAGGAUGUUUUCAUUGA
This 378-nucleotide ribosomal RNA is filed under the name uncultured eukaryote. RNAcentral describes it as "partial 18S ribosomal RNA". It matches the Rfam family "Eukaryotic small subunit ribosomal RNA", at positions 592 to 976 of the family's 1831-position model. The record is from RNAcentral.